RNAcentral lists this ribosomal RNA (253 nucleotides) under uncultured bacterium. RNAcentral describes it as "partial 16S ribosomal RNA". It matches the Rfam family "Bacterial small subunit ribosomal RNA", at positions 524 to 776 of the family's 1533-position model. The record is from RNAcentral.
UACAGAGGUCUCAAGCGUUGUUCGGAUUCAUUGGGCGUAAAGGGUGCGUAGGCGGCGAGGCAAGUCUGGUGUGAAAUCCCGGGGCUCAACCCCGGAACUGCCCUCGAAACUAGAUAGCUAGAAUCUUGGAGAGGCGAGUGGAAUUCCGAGUGUAGAGGUGAAAUUCGUAGAUAUUCGGAAGAACACCAGUGGCGAAGGCGACUCGCUGGACAAGUAUUGACGCUGAGGUGCGAAAGCGUGGGGAGCAAACAGG